This 2479-nucleotide unclassified non-coding RNA is filed under the name Leishmania donovani. RNAcentral's name for it is "gene:LdHU3.24.1290(CDS-product:hypothetical_prote in_conserved)". The record is from RNAcentral. Lineage: Eukaryota; Euglenozoa; Kinetoplastea; Trypanosomatida; Trypanosomatidae.
CAGCCACUCGACAACCGACUCUUUUUUGCACCUCUUUCCCCCGCUCCAGCUGAACCCACUACACUGCGCCUUAACGAUUACUAACCCUUCUCCCGCCUCCCUCCUUUUUAUCUGGAAGAGAGCCAUGCGCGACGCCGUGGCGUCCUUCUUCCAGCGGGGCUGGAAGGCCACCAAGGAAGAGCUGCUGAACACCGUCGACAACAUCCGCAGCACCAAGCUCAACAUCGCCUUCUUCUUCGCUGUGCUCUGCGUUUUGUUUGUUAUCGUAGGCAACGUGAUUCUGCUGAUCGCCAUCAACUUCUGGAUCGUGCAGUUCCCCACCGAUGCCCUGGCGCACAACUCCAGCCAGAUCGCGAUCCAGGUGGUCACCAUGCUCCUGCUUGCCUUUCUGUUCUCUGUGCUGUGUGCCGUCUUCACCGCCGUCUACGGCGCGCUGCCGCUGUGGCACGUGCUGGCGGAUCGCAACCGUGUCGGCGGGCCGUGGUACCGCCUCUUCCUGCUCUUCGCCUCUGGUGCGUCGAACGGCAUCAGCAGCGUUCUGGGCGUGUACGCCAUGACGCACACCCCCGAAUUCAUUCAGGCAGUGCUGCUGUGCUGCAUUCCGUUCAGCGCGCAGGCCUGGACCGUGAUCUUCAUCCCUAUUGAGCGCAAGCGCGACUACCUCUCCAUGUUCUUCAUCGCGUCCUUCCUGCUGUUCGUGGCGGGCGUGCUGCUGUCGAGUCUGUCAGCCUUCCUGCACCCCAACGAGCAGGGCGAGAAGGCGUCGUGGGCGUGGGCGCUCCUCUACCUGGCGAGCUCCGUCCUCUUUGGGCUGUGGUGCGUGGUGCAGCGGCUGUACCUGGACGCCGUAGCGCUGAAGGUGCCGCUGGAGGCGGCGGGCGCAGCAAGUUACGCGAAGCUGAGGGAGAGCAACCGCAACCCGCAGCGUGAGGAGCUGAGCGCCAGCGUGACACCGGCCACGGACGCGGUGCCUGAGUGCACGCCGAAGGCGGGUGCCGCCUGCGCCGAGGAGGGCCCGCGCUUGUUCGACAUGGAGGACGACGACGAGCUGCCGCUGUCGCCGUCCGCGGAGCUGCUGGCGAAGCGGCAGUGGGGCAGCCAGAACGUCGACGACAACGCCGCCAAGAUAGUGCUUCUCGUCGUGGGUAUGCUGUUCCAGCUGCUAGUCUCCUUCGUGGUAUUCCCGGUGGACGCGAUUCCGUGGUUUGGCACCUCCGACUCGGUGCUGCACGCAUGGGAGGGCUUCCGUAACUCCAUGGAUUUCAUCUUUGCCUCUUGGCUUCAUGUGCGCCAUGGGCUCCUUCUCACCCUCGGCUUCGCGAUGAGCUUCAUCGGGUGCACGUACCUGAACGAGCACAGCCCGACGCUGGCAUCGGUGGUGUUGCAGCUCGCGGGCCCAAUCACGUCGCUGACCAUCAUCAUCAUCCCGCAGUGGAACGUGUACCAGGACAGCAGCAGCGUGGGUCACAAGGUCGGCGGCGUGAUUCUUCUCCUUGUCGCAGCGCUGCUGUACCACCUGUGGGAGCAGCAGUCUCUGCGCGUGCUGCUGGCAAAGGCGGAGGAGGCGAAGCGCCGGCACGAUUACGCCGCGGCUAGUGGCAACAGGGCCACGGAGCAGCGCGUGAUCGACGCGGAUAACCGCGCCACGGAUGAACCCGUCGCGGACAACUGUGCGUGAGUCGUUGAGGGAGGCUUUGUGCGCGCGCUGCACCAUCGGGUAGAGAGACACGGUGGGUGGGAGGGAGGGCCCGAUGACGGAGAAGCUGGAGAAAGGCCUCGGAGCAGGAGCGGGUGUGGAUCCACCACCCACCAGCGCUUGGCGCUUCUCUUCAUCUUGUGACGUGUGCGUGCGGCACGUCGGGCUUCGCCAAAUUCCUGUGUUUCACGUGCUGCUGCUUUUUUUGUGGGGGUGCGGUGGUGGUGGCCCUCCUCCACUGCCACUCAAGGCCACCCCCACGAACACCCCGCAUCCAGUGGUCUCGGUGAGCGUCGAAGUGGGCUGUGCAGUGCAUACCUGGCAUGCGUCUGUGUGCGUGCUGCUCUCGCCUCUCUUUUCGUGUCACACGGAUUAUCCUUCGCGCGGCGUUGUGUGAUGGGGGUGCGCGGAGAGAAUGCUGGCAUACGCGUGCACAUACAUACAUACGUGUGCUGCGGCCGAGUGACGUACACAGACGCAUGCGGAGGCAGACAUCCGCAGCCGCGAAGGUAAAGUCACUGCGUUCCGUUGUGAGCUUCGUUUCUGUUACCUUGCGGUCCGUGUCCAGCAGCCCAUCAUCGCCCUCCACCACCCCUCGAAGUCGCUUCCUCUUCUCUUUCCUAUUUUUAUAGGCAUAAAUAUGCACAUAUAUAUAUAUAUAUAUAUAUACAUGUAUGCGCAUGUAUGGACAGGUCUCUCUGUGCCCUGUGUCGACCCCAUACCGCCCCCCUCCCCCUCUCUCUCCCUUGCCUCCCCAAAGCAGCAUGAGCGCCUGAGCAUACG